This 465-nucleotide ribosomal RNA is filed under the name uncultured bacterium. RNAcentral describes it as "partial 16S ribosomal RNA". It matches the Rfam family "Bacterial small subunit ribosomal RNA", at positions 28 to 507 of the family's 1533-position model. The record is from RNAcentral.
GACGAACGCUGGCGGCGUGCUUAACACAUGCAAGUCGAACGGAAAGGCCCCUUUUGGGGUGGUCGAGUGGCGGACGGGCGAGUAACACGUGAGUAACCUGCCCUUGCCUUCGGGAUAACUUCCUGAAACUGGGUCUAAUACCGGCUAGGAAUCCUUUCUGCAUGGUGGGGGUUGGUAAGCUUCGGCGGUUUUGGGGGGACUCGCGGCUUAUCAGCUUGUUGGUUGGGUAGUGGGUUACCAAGGCUUUGAAGGGUGGCCGGCCUGGGAGGGAGACCGGCCACAUUGGGGCCUGGGUUCGGCCCAAGCUCCUACGGGGGGCAGGCGUGGGGAAUAUUGCAACAUGGGCGGGAGCCUGGUGCAGCAAAGCCGCGGGCCGGAAGACCGGCUUCGGGUUGUAAACCGGCUUCAGCAGGGGAGAAGCCUGUGGUGACGGUACCUGCAGAAGAAGCACCGGCUAACUACGUG